Colossoma macropomum (tambaqui) is the source of this 260-nucleotide long non-coding RNA. RefSeq lists it as uncharacterized. The record is from RefSeq and is a predicted model, not a curated record. Lineage: Eukaryota; Metazoa; Chordata; Actinopteri; Characiformes; Serrasalmidae. The transcript is spliced from 4 exons.
GCAUAUCUGUGUUUCUCCAAAAAACUGUGGAUGGAAGCCCAAUAAGCGUUUUAAGGAAAUCAAUGAUGCAAGAUGUGUUCUCAUGUAUGAUGUAAGCAAAUGCAUCACAGCAAAUCCAAAACUGAACUUCACAGACCAUCUAAACUGCACCAUAAUACAUCCAGAAGAGAAACAGGGAGACUCACUUCAUGGGGAUGGAUGUGUUACUCCACCCAAUAAAGCAGAGAAAAUAGGACCAGCAUUUAUUGCAAGCAUUGCAA